RNAcentral lists this ribosomal RNA (392 nucleotides) under uncultured bacterium. RNAcentral describes it as "partial 16S ribosomal RNA". It matches the Rfam family "Bacterial small subunit ribosomal RNA", at positions 523 to 918 of the family's 1533-position model. The record is from RNAcentral.
AUACGGAGGAUCCGAGCGUUAUCCGGAUUUAUUGGGUUUAAAGGGUGCGCAGGCGGCCAUUUAAGUCAGCGGUUAAAUCGUGGGGCUCAACCCCAUUCUGCCGUUGAUACUGGGUGGCUUGAUUGCGGUCGAGGUUGGCGGAAUUCGUUGUGUAGGGGGGAAAUGCAUAGAUAUGACGAAGAACACCGAUUGCGUAGGCAGCUGACCAGACCGCAAAUGACGCUCAUGCACGAAAGUGCGGGGAUCGAACAGGAUUAGAUACCCUGGUAGUCCGCACAGUAAACGAUGAAUACUUGUUUUCGGCGAUAUAAUGUCGGAGGCAAAGCGAAAGCGAUAAGUAUUCCACCUGGGGAGUACGCCGGCAACGGUGAAACUUAAAGGAAUUGACGGGG